GGUGGGAAUGCAAACUGGUGCAACCACUGUGGAAAACAUUAAAAAUAGAACUACUCUAUGAUCCAGUAAUUGCACUACUGGGUAUUUACUCCUAAAAGACAAAAACGCUAAUUCA
Leopardus geoffroyi (Geoffroy's cat) is the source of this 115-nucleotide long non-coding RNA. RefSeq lists it as uncharacterized. The transcript is spliced from 2 exons. The record is from RefSeq and is a predicted model, not a curated record. Lineage: Eukaryota; Metazoa; Chordata; Mammalia; Carnivora; Felidae.